GUCUCCGUAGCUCAGUGGAUAGAGCGUUUGGUUGCGGACCAAAAGGCCGUAGGUUCGAAUCCUACCGGGGACG
RNAcentral lists this transfer RNA (73 nucleotides) under Anaerolineaceae bacterium. Its description in RNAcentral is "tRNA-Arg". It matches the Rfam family "tRNA". From Rfam's summary of the family: Transfer RNA (tRNA) molecules are approximately 80 nucleotides in length. Their secondary structure includes four short double-helical elements and three loops (D, anti-codon, and T loops). RNAcentral also lists the same sequence under 2 other names. Lineage: Bacteria; Bacillati; Chloroflexota; Anaerolineae; Anaerolineales; Anaerolineaceae. The record is from RNAcentral.